This 720-nucleotide ribosomal RNA is filed under the name Triticum aestivum (bread wheat). RNAcentral's name for it is "partial small subunit ribosomal RNA". The record is from RNAcentral. Lineage: Eukaryota; Viridiplantae; Streptophyta; Magnoliopsida; Poales; Poaceae.
AUGAUCUCUCGCCGAUCAAACCCGAGCGGCUUCGUCGUCUCAAGACUGGAGGCCAUGAAGGAGGCCGCCGCCGGCGCCAGCGAAGGUGACGGCCUGGAGUCCAGCGUCUUCUUCUGCGUGGCCGUGACGUCCAGGGGCAAGGACAGGCUAUCGUACUUCCGCUCCAGCGAGGUUGGCGAGGACGCGGAGGCGUCCCGUGCGCUGGCGGCGCUCUGCCUCGACCACGCGCCGGAGCACCACCAAUGGCACCACCACACCUACGACGGCAGGCGCACGUUCGCGGUCCUUGCAGCUGACGACGGCCGCACGUACCUCGCCGUCGCGGAGCCCACGCCGGGCAGCACCGAGGUCGUCCGCUUCCUGGAGCGCGUCCGUGACACGUGCGGUUCCGCGCCGAGGAGGAGGCUGCGCGACGAAGCAGUGUCCGGCCUUGUGCGGCAGUUCGUGCAAACGCUGCAGGCCGGGAUGAGCUCCUCCGCGGCUGCAAACUCGGUGAUGCUCCCCGGCGACGGUUCAUGGAGCGAGCACACGUCCGACAAGGACGAGGAGGCGCUGCCGGAGGAAGGCGCGCCACGCAGGCGGCCAGCACGGCCCUCCUGGAGGCGCACGUGGUGGCGGCGCCACGCCAUGGCCGUGAUCGGCGUGGACGUGGUGCUGUGCCUGGUGCUGUUCGGCGUGUGGAUGGCGGUGUGCCAUGGGUUCAGCUGCGUGCAGCGAUGA